This 271-nucleotide ribosomal RNA is filed under the name uncultured Paenibacillus sp. RNAcentral's name for it is "partial 16S ribosomal RNA". It matches the Rfam family "Bacterial small subunit ribosomal RNA", at positions 1113 to 1382 of the family's 1533-position model. The record is from RNAcentral. Lineage: Bacteria; Bacillati; Bacillota; Bacilli; Caryophanales; Paenibacillaceae.
AGUUGCCAUCAUUGAGUUGGGCACUCUAAAGAGGACUGCCGGUGUCAAACCGGAGGAAGGUGGGGAUGACGUCAAGUCCUCACUGGCCUUUAUGACCAGGGCUACACACGUACUACAAUGGCCGGUACAAAGGGCAGCGAACCCGCGAGGGGGAGCGAAUCCCAAAAAAGCCGCUCUCAGUUCGGAUUGCAGGCUGCAACUCGCCUGCAUGAAGCCGGAAUCGCUAGUAAUCGCGGAUCAGCAUGCCGCGGUGAAUACGUUCCCGGGCCUU